CACUUCUCCCAGGAACCGGUCAGAGUAAACAGAAACAGAACCUGCCCCUUAGGUCAGUAUUUCACAAGCCACUCUUCCAUGGCUCAUUAAUUUGCAAUUGGCUAAACUAGCAUUCUAAAAGCCUAAAGAAAAUACGAAAAGAAAAUGAAGGAUUUAUUUGACCUACCUCUGCAUUCGCUACUGCAUGUAUAUAUCAUUGAUUCUUGAUUAGCUGAGCUCGAUUAGGCAAGAAAUAAACAAAUCCCAGGUAGUAUUAUUUUCAUUUUAGUCAACUAAUGAGGCUCUUCAUACAUCUUUUACCAGAGUUGAUAAUUGUUAAAUUGAAUUCUUUGAGUUUUCUCUCCCAACUCCUAGGGUAAUGGGGCAGAAAAAAAGAUAAAUGGAGAAGAAAAACAAUAGCCCACAUAGUCUACAGACUGGAUAAUCACCCCAUUAAUAAUUUCUAAUAGGGGUCUCUGGGGCUGGUCAUAAGAGUAUCUCUAUGGUGGGCUGAAAACUGGCCCCUAUGAGAUGUCUGUGUAUGUACUCAUCAGUGGGACCUGUAAAUAUUCUCUUAUAUGGGAAAAAUGUCUUAGAGUCAUGAUUAAAUUAUGGCUAUUGAGCCUGGGAGAUUAUUCUGGAUUUUCCAGGUAGGCCCUCAAAGCAGUCCCGCAUAUCUAUAAAAGGGAGGCAGAAGGAAACUUGACACACACAUAGAGGAGAAAGUGAUGGGAAGAGUUGAACAGAGAGAUGUGGGGAUGUUGACCUUGAGAACUGGAGUGAUGUAGCCACAAGCCAAGGAAUGUCAGAGGCACUAAAAACUAAAAGAAGCCAAGAGGGCCUAGAAACUAGAGCUUUUGGAAGGAGGGGGUUCUGCUGACCCUUGAUUUUAGCCCAGUGAUAAAAAUUUUAGACUUCUGGCCUCCAAAAGAAUGAGAAAACACGGUUCUAUUGUUACAAGCCACCAAGUUUGUGGUAAUUUGUUACUGUAGCCUUAGGAAACUCUAAUAUAAUGACAUUUGGAAGUGGGGACUUUGGGAGAUGACUGGAUUUCAGUUUGGUCAUAAGAGUGGGGCCCUCCUGAUGGGAUUAGUGCCCUUAUAAGAAGAGGAGAGAGGAGAGCUCUCUCCCUGGAAGCACAUGCCUGAGGAAAGGCUGAGAGAGGACACAGUGAGAAGACAGCCGCCUGCAAGCCAGGAAGGGAGUCCUCACCAAGAACCAAAUCUGCCAGCACCUGAUCUUGAACUCUUCAGCCUCCAGAACAGUGAGAAAAUAGAUGACAUCUGUAUAAUGCGUAAGAGUGUGAAUCUAACAAGUGUCUUUCCACAGAUGUGGCAUUUUGUUAUAGCAUUUUGAACUAAUACAAUUAUACUAAGGGUCCCCGAAGCAGGACAAGGAUGUAAGGGCUGCCUUUGAAGGCAGCAAGAGGAAAAACGGAGUUACUUCCCCUUGUAAGUGGCUGCUUCUCAAAUAAGGUGCAGAGGGUGAAGGUCCUCAGAAACACAAGCCUGCAUGGGGUGCCCAGGGAGGCCCAGAGAAGGCAAGAUGCCUGCUCUCCAUCUCAAAGUGGAAACUGAGAGCAUUCACAUGACCACUCAGGCUCUGACACUGAAGACCUUGGUGGUGACUAUGGUUGAGUUAAACAGUGGUUCCUGCCCCACUUUCUGGGGACACACAAGGACCACCCACUCCUGUGUAAUUCUAGGAGAACAGCCUCUCAUGGCCGAGAUGGGAUUUCCCACCUGCUUGGUGGCAGUGGGGGCUCAGGGUCUGGGCUAAGUGAAUCUCAGCAGAGUAAAGAAGUGUGAUAUUUUGCACACCUCAAUUUGGGGAUGUAGAUUUCUACCUACUUCAACAACCAUCCAUCUCACUAUAUGCCCUGUGCUCCAACUUCCUCCAUCUACCUUGUAUUGUUCAAACCCUCCCACAGCUCACCAGACUGGGUCUACCCAGAGAUCUAACCUCUUCCCCAGAUCCCAUACAUUUUUUUAAGACUUGGCUAGAAUCUCAUCUUCUCUAAGAAGCCUUCCUAGGCAUUCCCAGUCUGAAUUAACCUCUCCUUUCUUUAUACAUUCCAAGUCUCUUUUGCACUUACCACUCCUUGCCUGGCAGGGUGUAAAUGUCUAACAAGUGUUCUUCCAGACUGUGAAUUCCUGAGGACCAGGUAGGUGGACUGCUGGAAUCUGCCCUUGAGCCCUCUCUCCACCUCAGAUCCCACCACCCUCUCCCCACUUCCCCCAACACUCAGCAAAGAGGGUUUUCAGUGAUUAUUGAAUUUAACCUAAUCACGAGCUCUAGUCAAUCAGAAGAAACAGGAAGAUAAUGGAGAUGAAGUCAUCAGAAUAGGCUUUUUGGAGGAGACAGACCUUAGUUUGGCUGCCCCAGGAGAGGUGAGUUUGUUCUUCUGAACCCCCUGGAUAACACUUUGCAAACAGGGUAGCACUCUGAGGGCCUUGUGAAAAAGGUAGGGGACUUCUUGAUAAGCUUCCUCCCUCCCAAGGAGUGAUUCACCCAGAGAAGAAUCUGACUGAACAAGUUCUUUUCAUACAUGAAAAAAGAACUCUCAUUAACUUGAGCUUUAGCAACCCAGAUUUUGAAACAGUAAUAAUACCCAACAUGUGAACGGUGCUUUCCUGUUUAAAGAGCAAUUUCACAUCCUGAAAACCUGUUUUAUCCUAACACCAUCUUUGGAGGUAUGGAUCAAUCCCAAACAAAUGAAGAAAUAAAAUCAGAGAGAGGUAAUAAUUUGUCUCCAACUCAGGUUUUUUAAUUUUUUCCUCCAUUAAACCACAUUUCUCUGAAGGGCACCAUCAAAAUCAGAGUGUCAAACAUCAUUUAGCUGCAGACCCAUCUUAUGCUUAGACUCCCUCUAAACCUUGAUAAUAAGGUGGAAAUCAUGCUUUAUUAUACAAAUUAGCAGUGUGAAAAAGAUUCAAUGGAGAAUUUUUAAAUUACUUAAGUAAAUACACUUGAGCAGUUUUUUCCUACAGAAGCAGGAUGACUGUGAAAUAAAAAUAAACCAGAGGUAUCAGUGAUUUAAUCAUAAGCCAGUGGUAUUGAAGAAUAUUAAUUAGCCAAUGAAUUGUGACAAUUACACCUCAUCCUUGUUUGUUUGCUAAGGCCUGCCCUCAAGUGAUCUUUAUCAGACACCACUUGAUUAGCCUGACUUGAGUUUGUAUGUGCUUGAAAGCAAUAAAACUCUAUUUCUUUAAAGUCUAUAACUCAAACUUUUUAUUGACUUAGUCUGCUUUCUCACCCAAAUAAUUAAAAAAAAAAUGUGACCGUGGAUUGCUUUUUUGUUGUUGUUGUUAGACUUUGCUCUGAGAAAGAAGCUAUACGUGAUGAACUUUAUCAGGAAAAGUUCAAAUCCUCAGCUUUCAUCAAAAAAUACAGACUCUCUGCCCGAUGCAAUAGAACUGAACUGUAUAAUCACCUUCCUCGUCUAAAGAAAAUUCAAGGGCCAAAAACAUCACAUGCCAUGAAUUAUAAAAGAGCCAAAUCUUGGUUUUAUAAGAUUUCAGAAGAAAGCACAGAAGGGCAAAGAAUAUUUUUUUGUGACACAUAGAAAUAAAACAUAACUUGUGCCAACUUACAAAAGGUGGUUGAGCAGAAAUGAUAACUCUUUACAGCCUCUGACUCUCUGGUGGACAGUGACACCUCCCUGGCUACAGAUUGCUUUGCCAGCAUUACAACAGGGCAAUGAUUAAAAUCCAGUUUUCUUGGAAGGCUUCAUUUCUAUGGCGAGUAUUAACCUUUGCAUGCUUUGCAGGCUGGGAUAACUUUUGUUUUCUUGAAAAGAGACAUAAAUGUACUCAACUUGCUUGGGAAAGAGUGAAGCCAGAUCUUAAUUGUUACCGCUUCUGUGGAAGGAAACACUCUUGCUUCUCCUUUUAUAUGAGAGA
Molecule: long non-coding RNA, 3881 nt
Filed under: Sus scrofa (pig)
Lineage: Eukaryota; Metazoa; Chordata; Mammalia; Artiodactyla; Suidae
Description: lncRNA (ENSSSCG00000061595.1)
Source: RNAcentral